RNAcentral lists this ribosomal RNA (392 nucleotides) under uncultured bacterium. RNAcentral's name for it is "bacterial SSU rRNA". It matches the Rfam family "Bacterial small subunit ribosomal RNA", at positions 28 to 420 of the family's 1533-position model. The record is from RNAcentral.
GACGAACGCUGGCGGCGUGCUUAACACAUGCAAGUCGAACGGAAAGGCCCAGCUUGCUGGGUACUCGAGUGGCGAACGGGUGAGUAACACGUGGGUGAUCUGCCCUGCACUCUGGGAUAAGCCUGGGAAACUGGGUCUAAUACCGGAUAUGACCAACUGUCGCAUGGUGGUUGGUGGAAAGCUUUUGCGGUGUGGGAUGGGCCCGCGGCCUAUCAGCUUGUUGGUGGGGUAAUGGCCUACCAAGGCGACGACGGGUAGCCGACCUGAGAGGGUGAUCGGCCACACUGGGACUGAGACACGGCCCAGACUCCUACGGGAGGCAGCAGUGGGGAAUAUUGCACAAUGGGCGCAAGCCUGAUGCAGCGACGCCGCGUGAGGGAUGACGGCCUCGG